This 305-nucleotide ribosomal RNA is filed under the name uncultured bacterium. RNAcentral's name for it is "partial 16S ribosomal RNA". It matches the Rfam family "Bacterial small subunit ribosomal RNA", at positions 505 to 807 of the family's 1533-position model. The record is from RNAcentral.
ACAGCAGUCGCCACGGUAAUACAGAGGGUGCGAGCGUUAAUCGGAUUUACUGGGCGUAAAGCGUGCGUAGGCGGCUUUUUAAGUCGGAUGUGAAAUCCCUGAGCUUUACUUAGGAAUUGCAUUCGAUACUGGGAAGCUAGAGUAUGGGAGAGGAUGGUAGAAUUCCAGGUGUAGCGGUGAAAUGCGUAGAGAUCUGGAGGAAUACCGAUGGCGAAGGCAGCCAUCUGGCCUAAUACUGACGCUGAGGUACGAAAGCAUGGGGAGCAAACAGGAUUAGAUACCCCCGUAGUCCCUGUCUCUUAUAC